This 423-nucleotide ribosomal RNA is filed under the name uncultured bacterium. RNAcentral's name for it is "bacterial SSU rRNA". It matches the Rfam family "Bacterial small subunit ribosomal RNA", at positions 9 to 419 of the family's 1533-position model. The record is from RNAcentral.
GAGUUUGAUCUUGGCUCAGGAUGAACGCUGGCGGCAUGCCUAAUACAUGCAAGUCGAACGAAGUCUUUAGGAAGCUUGCUUCCAAAGAGACUUAGUGGCGAACGGGUGAGUAACACGUAGGUAACCUGCCCAUGUGCCCGGGAUAACUGCUGGAAACGGUAGCUAAAACCGGAUAGGUAUGAGGGAGGCAUCUUCCUCAUAUUAAAGCACCUUCGGGUGUGAACAUGGAUGGACCUGCGGCGCAUUAGCUGGUUGGUGAGGUAACGGCCCACCAAGGCGAUGAUGCGUAGCCGACCUGAGAGGGUGAACGGCCACAUUGGGACUGAGACACGGCCCAAACUCCUACGGGAGGCAGCAGUAGGGAAUCUUCCACAAUGGACGAAAGUCUGAUGGAGCAACGCCGCGUGAGUGAAGAAGUAUUUC